This 56-nucleotide microRNA precursor is filed under the name Danio rerio (zebrafish). Its description in RNAcentral is "Dre-Novel-2_pre stem-loop". Lineage: Eukaryota; Metazoa; Chordata; Actinopteri; Cypriniformes; Danionidae. The record is from RNAcentral.
UUAUGUGUGUGUGAUUGGUCGCUGAUUUUGAAGUGGCUUGUUAGACACACUGGCAC